RNAcentral lists this small RNA (142 nucleotides) under Alteromonas naphthalenivorans. RNAcentral's name for it is "Manganese sequence". It matches the Rfam family "Manganese Mn2+ riboswitch aptamer (yybP-ykoY)". Rfam says of the family: This RNA was originally discovered in E. coli during a large scale screen and was named SraF. The family was later found to exist upstream of related families of protein genes in many bacteria, including the the yybP and ykoK genes in B. subtilis. The specific functions of these proteins are unknown, but this structured RNA element may be involved in their genetic regulation as a riboswitch. The record is from RNAcentral. Lineage: Bacteria; Pseudomonadati; Pseudomonadota; Gammaproteobacteria; Alteromonadales; Alteromonadaceae.
UUACACUUCGUUGGGGAGUAGCCUGUUUCCAUUAUCCAUGGAAAAGUUUGUGUCAACAUAAUUGGUCACAUGACCAUGGUACAAACACCACUUGGUUGGCGAGACCAUCGAUAUUUCCAUGCCCUAAGGUCAGGCGUGUGGU